GACGAACGCUGGCGGUAUGCUUAACACAUGCAAGUCGAACGAGACGAGAUGGAAUGAUCCUUCGGGAGAAUGAAAUCUUAGAAAGUGGCGAACGGGUGAGUAACGCGUGGGUAACCUACCCUAUGGAAAGGAAUAGCCUCGGGAAACUGGGAGUAAUGCCUUAUAAGAUACGUUUGUCGCAUGACAGAUGUAUUAAACGCUCCGGUGCCAUAGGAUGGACCCGCGUCCCAUUAGCUAGUUGGUGAGAUAACAGCUCACCAAGGCGACGAUGGGUAACCGGUCUGAGAGGGCGAACGGUCACACUGGAACUGGGACACGGUCCAGACUCCUACGGGAGGCAGCAGUGGGGAAUAUUGCGCAAUGGGGGCAACCCUGACGCAGCAAUACCGCGUGAGUGAAGAAGGUUUUCGGAUCGUAAAGCUCUGUUAUUGGGGACGAUAAUGACGGUACCUAAGGAGGAAGCCACGGCUAACUACGUGCCAGCCGCCGCAGUAA
RNAcentral lists this ribosomal RNA (495 nucleotides) under uncultured bacterium. Its description in RNAcentral is "partial 16S ribosomal RNA". It matches the Rfam family "Bacterial small subunit ribosomal RNA", at positions 28 to 523 of the family's 1533-position model. The record is from RNAcentral.